CGGCGUGCCUAAUACAUGCAAGUCGAACGGUCUUUCUAUGGAAGCUUGCUUCCACUGAGAAGAUAGUGGCGAACGGGUAGAGUAACACGUGGGUAACCUGCCCAUAAGAGGGGGAUAACAUCCGGAAACGGGUGCUAAUACCGCAUAGUUUUCUUGAUCGCAUGAUCGGGAAAGGAAAGACGGCCUUUGUGCUGUCGCUUAUGGAUGGACCCGCGGCGUAUUAGUUAGUUGGUGAGGUAACGGCUCACCAAGACGAUGAUACGUAGCCGACCUGAGAGGGUGAUCGGCCACAUUGGGACUGAGACACGGCCCAAACUCCUACGGGAGGCAGCAGUAGGGAAUCUUCCGCAAUGGACGAAAGUCUGACGGAGCAACGCCGCGUGAGUGAAGAAAAGGUUUUCGGAUCGUAAAACUCUGUUGUCAGAGAAGAACAAGUUGGAGAGUAACUGCUCCAGCCUUGACGGUAUCUGACCAGAAAGCCACGGCUAACUACGUGCCAGCCGCAGC
Molecule: ribosomal RNA, 507 nt
Filed under: uncultured bacterium
Lineage: Bacteria
Description: bacterial SSU rRNA
Rfam family: Bacterial small subunit ribosomal RNA
Source: RNAcentral